Anneissia japonica is the source of this 2144-nucleotide long non-coding RNA. RefSeq lists it as uncharacterized. The record is from RefSeq and is a predicted model, not a curated record. The transcript has 3 exons. NCBI's taxonomy places the organism in Eukaryota, Metazoa, Echinodermata, Crinoidea, Comatulida, Comatulidae.
UCAAAAACUUGACCAAGAAAGAACAGGGUCAGGUAUAAGCGCAUGUCUAACAAGCGCACUGUUGUCCCACAAAUGCAUACUUUAUGUUUUAAGGCAUUGUAUGGGACCUUAGCAACAAUAUCCAAGGGGCGGGGCAGGAGUUGGAGGACAGGUUCAUUGCAAAGAACGUAGUCAAGUUCACAAUUUGGCUAAGAAGUGUCUGAAGCAAUGAGCAUGGUGAUGACACAGGUGCAUUUACUGUUUGUAGGAUUUGAAUACAGAAUCUUGGUAUUGGAAGACAAACAUCUUAACACAUCCUGGCUGCCAGCAACGAGUAUUCUCGUCCGACAGGGUGUUGCUGAGGGCACCAGGGACGACUAUACUCAUCGUAAUCGGGACUGACUGUGUUAUCUGGAACCUCGGGGAUAGUCCGAUAAGUUGUAUAGACACAGCGUACUGACCUAUUCAUGCAAACACAUUGAAAAGGACACUGGAACCUCUGAGCCAACAAGUCUGUCGCUUGGAAUAUCGUAAUGUAGACAACAAGUAAUAGUUUGAAAGUUUCCAUUUUAACUGGUUGACAGUUUAAUACACUCUGAUGCUACUCUCAAAAUAGCCUGACUAUUCAUACAAAACUUAAUUGAUCCAAAGAGCUAAAAAAUGUUUGAGUGGUUACAGUAUGACACCGCCUUAAAUCCAGGCAAAUUACAAUACUGAACUCUUGACUAACCAGUCAAAUUACCCUCAGCUAACGACCAUUUCCAUUGCUUCCUCAACUUGGUCUGUUGUUGAAAACGGAUAAUUAAAGCUAUUACAGAUGAACUGUUCACACUCAAAUACCUGAGAGAAUUUUUAAUCUAUACUGGCCAGGGAAUUAGAUUUCAACACACAAUCAACUUGUUGCUAAGUAACAAACAUGAAUGAGUGUAUCUUAUCAGCAACAUGCAAAACUAGAUUCCCUAAUGAAAAUUAGUUAACCUUUGACCCUAUUAUAUUAAUCAUGGAAAUGAAACUUGGGAAAAGUUUAUUUUUAGAUACAAAGUUGAAUUAUCAUAGGAACUGGACUUAUUUUGAUCGACCAAUAACUGUUUGUUUGUAUUUAGGUCACAACAAAAAGUUCAAAAUAUAAUAAAAAUGUUCAGAAAUUGGUACUUUAGUGUAAAACUACAGUACCAUAAAAUAAUUAUUUUAUAAUGAUUUUAAAACUAAGCAUAAAGCUGGGAUUAUGUUGUGUGCCAUUAACAAUUGAGGUAGUGUACUGUACUUUAGCCUGAUUCAGACAAGCUGUAACUAAUCAAACAAUUUGUGUGUCAUUCCAAGUCUGUUUAGAAGUCAGACAAUGCCCUCUAUUUCCUAAGACUAUUCAAACAACUGUCUGUUUACGUCUGACAGAUAAAAUUUAAGUGUGUGCCUAGCUUUAGAAUAAUUUAAUUGACAUUUUAUAUUCAGAAGAAAAUCACUUUAUAAUAAUGAUAAUUUAACACAUUUGUCCGUAAGUGUCGGAAAAGCGCACAAGCAAAUUAAGAACUUUGGUGAGGUCUUUACAAAUGAUACACAAAAUACCACAGUUGAAAAUCAGCUGUGCACUGUGAGCAUGUACACAGAUCCUAGUAAAAUAUCUUGGACAUUUUUUAUGCCCCUGCAAUGUUUCCCUUGCAUAGUAUACGAGUAUUAUACUGUAACGAGGUGCAUGCUAAUCUUACAUAGAUGCACAUUGUAACAUAUGCAUGCUCAUUUUGCCUUACAGUAGCAUGGGUCACAUACUGUUUUUCUUAUGUGAAGUCACAUAAGUAUUAAAAAACACUGAAAAUUAAAUUUUAAAAAUCACCAAAAUUUAUAUUGUAUUAACUUAAAUUAGAGAUACUCUACAGUAAAAAUAAAAUAGAAAACCCUUUAAAAAUUAAUAAAACAUCUAACAGAUCAAAGUUUUAACUAUAUUGUACAAUACAAAGGGUAUAGAAGAAAUGCAAAAUCAAGGUCCACAUUUUAACCUUAUUUGUAAUAAUAUUGACAGGCUGAGUUCUGCUCUGCUAAUUGUCAAAAUGUUUUCAAUUUUUUUCUUAUACACCAGCUAUUCAGCAGCUCAUCUCCAAUACUGAAGUAAAAGUAGGACACUGGAUUUUGGGUUCAAAACUUUCCAACUUUUUUUUUUAACCAUUAUUUUC